Long non-coding RNA from Cucumis sativus (cucumber), 5934 nucleotides. RefSeq lists it as uncharacterized. The record is from RefSeq and is a predicted model, not a curated record. NCBI's taxonomy places the organism in Eukaryota, Viridiplantae, Streptophyta, Magnoliopsida, Cucurbitales, Cucurbitaceae. The transcript is spliced from 2 exons.
AAACAUUUUUGGAAUUCAUUUAUUUCUCUCACGGUUGGGUUGCUUUGGUUUAGGUGCCCAUGUCUUCAACCCUUUCCUUGUCAUUGACCGAGGACUUUUUGGCCAACGGCAAUUGACAGCAACCGACUGAAACCCACGGCAAGAAUAUUUAGGUGUUUUGGCGACCCACUGUUCGACGACAGCGUUUCAGGUUUUGGGUUUCGGCAAAAGCGUGAGUUUCGGUCAACAACAUUUUUGGCAGACAGUGACCCACGAUCGGCAUCCUCACUCCUUCUCAUCGACGGUGACCCACGGUUGACGGCGACUCAAAGAGAAAGGAGCAGAAGAUAUUCUUUGGAUUACAAAGUGUUUGAGCUAUUUAUUUGGAUUCUGCAAUGAACUUCCUUGAAGAUUUAUUGUAACUCAAGAUUCUUAUGAGCCCAACUCCACCAGUUGAAGUGUAAUUUGACAAUCUACCCCACAUUUCACACAAAUCCUUUAAGAAAAUUGGGUUAUUGUUGCAAAUGAGAUUCAAACAUUUGCCUUUAGAAGCAAAACAUUUGACUAAAUGAAGACACCAACAUUGAAGUUGACUAGCCCAUUCCUCUGCUUUUUAUAUCCUCAAUUUCUCUCCCACCAACUCCUCUUUAAUGUAGAAAAAUGAAUAUGAAUAUGUAAAUGGGCCUUUAUCGUCGUGCCCAUCCAACUUCAGUAAACAAUUCAUGCAAUGGUCGUUUACCCCAAUAAAAAAUUAUUGCAAUGGACUGCUUCUUAUUUUCAAAAUUGAAAAUAGGCUUCGAUACAAUCCACUUCUUUUGGUUCAAUAAUACCAAAGAUAAAGAAUAGAAUUCUGAACAAAAGUAAGUGCUUGAUUCGUUCUAAAUUUUAACAUAGGAUUGAACUUGUUUACUUAUGAAUUUUUUUUAAAAAAAGUCUAACUGUUAGAGACUUGUAAGCUGUGAUUUGUUAAGACAAAGAAGGCCUUUCAUUAAACUGUUAGAGACUUGUAAGUUAUCGUCUUCUUCGCUUGUGAUGCUUUCAUCACAUCAUUUUAAUUUCUUGAUUUUAAGUCAAGACACACAAUUACUUGUCUUUGCAAUCUAAUUAACUUUCGUCAAAGGAUCAUUACUCAAGGUUUUUAAAUAUUUUUUUUUGCACUUAAUUAGAAAUAAUAGUUUAGACUCAAGUGGCAUGGAAACAAGGUAAGUCUUCUACUUAUCUUUAGCUUAAGUUCUGUAUGUAUGUAUGUGUGUAUAUAUAUAUUUGCUUUCAAAUUCCAUGUAAUCAUGUAUUCUAUAACUCCUUGGUAUGUUCUACUGUUGGACCCAAUUUGGUCCUUGUUCUAUGAUAAGAUUUUGAGUCUACAUGCAUUCCUCAACCUGUAACAUAUAUUUCAUAUUCUUUUCUAUGAUGAUCUUUCUACUUCCUACUUUUCUUUAUUGACGUUAUCUGGUGCUUGCUUCAGUUCUACUGUGGUGGUUGGUUGGUUAGCCUUUGUAUUUAGAUUCUACUUUUUUGGCACUUUUUAUUCUUUUAAUUUUUUGUUUGGGUUCCUCUACUCUUGCUUCUUUUUCUCUGUCUCCAUAUAUAACUCGGGGAGGGUUUAGGAUAUUUACUUACAUAACAUAAGUGUUCCCUAAGUUUAGACCUUCUUAUGUGAAUAUAUGUUGAGCUUGUAAUACUUAUGGUUUUUUAUUACAGUUAAAUAAUAGGGUUUAUAACAUUGUCUCUCUUUUUCAACUUAUUUUUUUUAGUUAUUUUAACUUUCAUACUUGUAUAUGAUUACUGGGGUUUGUUAGUGGCACCAACAAACUUGAGCUAUGUGAUGUCUCCUAAUUUUUUAAGGAAGUUUAGCUUUGAUCUCACUAUAUGGUAUUUAAUUUAUUUCUGUUAUUGAUGAUCUUUUAGUGGAAAAACUUUUGUCUCACGUCUAAAGAUAUAUUUACUAUAGAGGUUGGUUUUUAUUUUAUGUUUCAUAAAACUUUUGAGUCAUUGAUUGGUACCCGUUCUCAUGAAAGAUUGUCUUUUACUAUAUCAUGUUCUUCAAAGGAUUGGCGCUAUGUAAAUGUAAAUCCUAAAUUUGAGUACCCAUAAUUCUUUAUUUUAUUAUUAUGAGAAUAGGGUAGCUAAUACUUGUGACUUGUUUAGAUAGUGUUUUUUGUUCGAGCUCCUGUACUUGUUAUUUUCUGAUAUGGUGGAUCACUCUUAUUUGUAUGUCUAUUGUUUAGGGUGGAUUACAAGGAAGCUAUUUUUUGUGGCAUAUACAACAUAAAGAUUUUCUUAUUUUGGGUGAUAACUGUCAUUGCUAUUUUGUUCCCGAGUAUUGAGAUUGGUGUCUUAAUUGGGGUACAUAUUUAUAAUCUGAUCUGAACAAUAGUUCUAUUUACAUAAUUAUUUACUGACUUUUUGUGUGCUCUAAUUUAUUGUGGAAAUUGUUCUAUCUUACCUUUUGACUCUAACAGAUUCAUGGUUUUGACCUAUUUAAUGUUGUUUGACUCGUCCAUGGUCUAUUUUGUAAGAGUAUCUUAUAAAGAAUAUGGUUUAAUGUGAAGUUUAUAUUGCAAGUGGGUCUUUCACUAGCCUUUGUCAUUCACGAAUCUGCAAAUCCACACAUGGGUAACUGGUACAUUUCUAAUGCUUAUAUGAUAUAAUAUAAAAUUAAGAUUAUAUAAAAUAUAAUAUGAUUUAAAUUUAUAUUAGAUUUAUAUUAAUAUGAAUUUAAAUAAACAUAAUAACUCCCACGUGACCGAGAGGGAGGAAGUUAUUUUAUAACUUCCACUUUCAUCUCUCUUCAUAUCCUUUGGUUAAGACAUAGAAGGGAGGGGAUGCAAUCUUUUCAUGUGAGAAUUUUGACGAUCUAUUGGUAUCAAAAAGAAAAAAUCUCUGCAAAUGUUUUUUUUAUCUUGAGGAUAACAAGGAAGACUUCAUGGUAUUCUCCUCUGUGUUCUUUGGGAGGUUCGAGAAUUCUUGGGAGGUUCUACAAAGAUUAGUUUUCUUUUAUUCUUUUCCUCCAUAGAAGCAUGUUUAGGUAUUUUCUCUGUGUUUCAAGUUAAAUUUAUGUUGCAUAGCGUUCACACGCUUCCACUUUGGAAAUUUCAUUCAUUCAGUUCUCACCCACGAACUCCUUAAAUGCAAGAUAGGAUGUCAUGGCUUGCACGUCGCACAAGUUUACAUAACCAUCCAACUUUUCAUCCUUUAUAUACUUGGCUUCUAUGUCUAACUUCCUUUCUUACUUGACUUCAGCGCCUGACAACCUAGGGAGAGGAAAACUUAAAACGUAAGUCUUAAUGAGUGAGGGGUUUAGGAAAUAUCCUUUCGAAGAAUAAAAGAGGUUAACAACAAACUUAAACCUAUGAACACAAGUAUUUCACUGCAUCAACACAAAUUCUCAACGUAAACACAAACACAAUUGGCACAACAAUGCCACGCAUUUGUUAUCAAACAUUCACCAUUAUUCACGCUGGAACCUGGGAUUCUCUCAUCCACAUCUAAUCGCCUAGAGCUUCACUUCACUAGCAUUUACUCGUCUAGACCUAGGACUCACUUUAUCAGUGUCAUGCGUUAAACGUGGGAUUUCCACCAACAUCAUCCAAUAGACUCGAGAUUUCCACUAGUGUCUCGUAACAAUCUCAAUCUUAGACAUGAGAUUCGCUUUCACCAGCAUCUCAUCAUCUAGACCUAGGAUUCACUUCACCAGCAUCACGCGAUAAACGUGCGACUCAUUUUCACCAGCAUCUCACAAUUCAAUCAUCGCCUAGAUCUGGGAUUCAUACUCACCAACAUCUAGCAUCAGUAACACACCUUAUUCUAGCUUAGACCUGAGCACUUCCACCAACAUUUACUUGCUUAGACCUUAGAUUCAAUUCCAUUAAUGUCUCACAUUAAAUCUGAGAUUUCUACCGGCAUAUUACGAUAGAUCAAUCACCAGUACUCAUCACAGAAGAACACUAUCAUCAAAGAUAGAUUAGCUCAACAAAUCAUAUUCAACAGAUAAUACAACAAUCAUCAAAGAAAGGAUCACAAAGAAAGCUUUUCAUUCAAAUAUUCAUAAAAUAAUUUCCUCAUUUGAAAAGAUCAUAAAUUACAACACUUUAUUAAUAAACAUCGUUUAUUCAUUUAGAAGAUCAUUUAUGAAAUCAUUCACAAAUAAACAAUCAUUUAUAAGGACCACUUCACAAUUAAACAUUCAUUUAUAAGGAUCACUCACAAAUAAACAUUCAUUUAUAAGGAUCACUCACAACAACACUUAGCCUCAACUCUUCCUUCCUUUGGCUUUCGACUUCCUCUUCUUGUCGAGUGGUUUCUCUCAACCAGCCUUUGGACACUCCAAAAUCUCUUCUUACAACUUAGCAAAAUGUUUAGCACUUUUUCUGUCCUUUUCUUCCAGUCUUUGGUCCUAUUUAUAGCGACUUUUCACAUCCAAGGGUCACUUCCCUACUUUACACGUAUCACCUUUUCAUUUCCUCGCGCUAUGCAACCAACCCAAACUAGACACAUAAGUGAAACGUCAGUUACGAAUAGACAGUUUUCAUGAGACGCCAGCCUUUUCUCCUUGGAAAGCUAAACUUCUUUAAUUUGUCUAACUCUCUUCUUGGAAAACAACAAAGAGUUACUUUUCCCUAAAGGCUUGUCAAGUCACCUCAACCGAACACCUAGCUCAUUAUCACACUCUUAGGCAUAUGUACCUUAUUUCCUCAUUACUACUCCAAACGCUUAGUACUUAGCAUUAAACGCAAGUUUCUUCAUCGUCAGCAACCUCAACACGUUACAUACUUCCACAUGAUGGCUCUUAGACUUGAAACUCCUCAUCGCAUCACCCUUCUCCAAUCGCAUCCCUCUUCGCAUAAUGCCUCAUUAAUCGAAAAUAGUCUCUCUCAAUGAAGUUUCUCUUCAACAAGACUUCCUUUUGGGUCAAAGCCCCACAUACCAUUUUAGUUAAAAAAGAGUCUAUCUUCAAAUUUUGAAUUUUUCAUAUAUACAUUUUAAUUAAGAAAAUAGGUAAAUCUAAAAUUUUAAGAAAAUAGAUAAAUGGUAAAUGAUGCCUCCCUACUCCUUAUUUUAAACCUAUAUUUUAGUACAAACUCUUUAUUUUUGGACUUAUAUUCUAGCUAGUACAACUCCCUAAUUUUAGACCUAGCAGUUUGCCUCCCACUAUCAACGUCUUGAUUUAAUUUUCUCCCUCCCUACCUCUUUUCAUCCAUUCAAUUUAUCUCAACACCAAAAUAUUUUCAAAUACACCUUAUACUUUCAUAUAAGUUUACCAAAUUCUUGUUUACAACUUUGUAUUAUUAAUUUUAUUUUCUUAAUUCAAUUUAUGUUACUUAAUGAUAGUGAUCUUGAUUCUUUUUUUUUUUUUAUUUUUUAAUUAUUAGAGUUUCUAAUUUCCUUUGUUAUAGUUGAUAUGAUGUAUCUAGGUUUUGUUGAUCUACAACUAGAAUUUACUUUCUUCUUAGAUCUCCACCUAAGUGCGCGUUCCUACAAAUUUUUUAUUCAAGCAACUCCUUUGGUUUCACACCAUAUUUCUUUAAUACAUUUUUACCACUUCUUUUCAUAAAACUAUUCUCACAAAGGACCCGAGAGCAUGUAAUUUAAUUCAUAAAGCUAUAUAAUCCUUUUAUCUUCAUUCUCCCUUUUUUCAUAAUUAUGUUAUAUAAAGUAUAAAAUAUACUGUUAUUAUACAUAACAAUGCAAUGUCUUCCUUUCUUCUUCCAGUUUGAGUUGUAAGUGCCUUAGAGGUUAAUUGAAACUUGCUACUACCACACUCAUGUAUACUCAUCCAGAUAUAUAGGGUCAAGUUCGAAUGAUCAGUUAUUUAACAUGUUUAAAACUUGAACACUUAUUGAUGUUUAAGUGAUUUUGAUUACAAGUUAUUUCUAUUUUCUUAGUGAUGUUGGACAAAUUUUGUACCAAGUUGCUCAUACAUUUUGAUUUUAUUAAAUGAUAUAAUAUUUGUGA